CACUCCAGCCUGGUCAACAGGAGUCAAACCUUGUCUCAAAAAAUUAAAAACAUGAAACUUAGUUUCAAAACACAAAUAAUACUAUUCAAUCUAGAUAAUGAACUUUUUUUCAGUUGUAUGGUGGAAAGGAUUGCCAGUUGUAGAACACUAAACUAGACUGCUUUUUGCUUAAUCUAUAGGAAGAAAAUGAAAAAAGAAGUCAUCAUAAAGACCACUCAGAUAGUGAAUCUACAUCAUCAGAUAAGUAAGUCAUUUUUAAUGUCCACUUAGUAUUUCUUUUUAAAAGGCAUGUUUCUAAUACUGUGUCUCUUUUUUAAGUUCUGGGAGGAGGAGGAAAGGACCCUUUAAAACCAUAAAGUUUGGGACCAAUAUUGACCUAUCUGAUGACAAAAAGUGGAAGUUGCAGCUACAUGAGCUGACUAAACUUCCUGCUUUUGUGCGUGUCGUAUCAGCAGGA
Molecule: small RNA, 457 nt
Filed under: Pan troglodytes (chimpanzee)
Lineage: Eukaryota; Metazoa; Chordata; Mammalia; Primates; Hominidae
Description: processed transcript
Source: RNAcentral